This 90-nucleotide transfer RNA is filed under the name Epibacterium sp. DP7N7-1. Its description in RNAcentral is "tRNA-Ser". It matches the Rfam family "tRNA". Rfam says of the family: Transfer RNA (tRNA) molecules are approximately 80 nucleotides in length. Their secondary structure includes four short double-helical elements and three loops (D, anti-codon, and T loops). The record is from RNAcentral. Lineage: Bacteria; Pseudomonadati; Pseudomonadota; Alphaproteobacteria; Rhodobacterales; Roseobacteraceae.
GGACGGAUGGCGGAGCGGUCGAACGCGCCGGUUUCGAAAACCGGAGAACCUAGAAUGGUUCCGGGGGUUCAAAUCCCUCUCCGUCCGCCA